CAUAGUGACGACAUUUGGUGUUGUCAUAAAUAAGGCUAGCCAUGUCUUGAAUGACAACACCAAAUGAUUUUUUCCAUUAGUAUGUAUAAACAUAUUAGAUGCCUCCAUAUGACUUGUUUUUGAGGUUCGCAACAUACAUUUGCAUAUUAAGUGCAUGGUAAUAGUUGAAAUUCAAGAAAGGUGAAGUCAUCCAAAAUCCCAAACAAGAGGGCAAUUCACCAUAGAGGGAGUAUUUCUUUUACUCUUGCUUUCAUUUUCAAACAUUGAGGACACUGUACACUUUAAGUGUGGGGGUUUUUUAAUUAUGGUGAUUUGAGAAAAAUGGUUCAGAAGUUUCAUAAUUUUGUCAAUUUUAGAAGAAGUUCCAUAGCCAAUAGUAGUCAAAAUUCUCCCUUUGUAGUCAAAUUUAUGUGACUUAAGAAUCUUAUUUCCUAUUCGACUUGGAAAUAGCUCUUAUGUGACCAGGAUUUUUACUAUGAUGAAAGUAUAUCUUGUAAAAUGGAAAUAAUUAUGUCUUGAA
Molecule: long non-coding RNA, 520 nt
Organism: Coffea eugenioides
Lineage: Eukaryota; Viridiplantae; Streptophyta; Magnoliopsida; Gentianales; Rubiaceae
Exons: 2
Source: RefSeq, a predicted model, not a curated record